RNAcentral lists this ribosomal RNA (504 nucleotides) under uncultured bacterium. RNAcentral describes it as "partial 16S ribosomal RNA". It matches the Rfam family "Bacterial small subunit ribosomal RNA", at positions 30 to 523 of the family's 1533-position model. The record is from RNAcentral.
AUUGAACGCUGGCGGCAGGCCUAACACAUGCAAGUCGAACGGUAGCACAGAGAGCUUGCUCUCGGGUGACGAGUGGCGGACGGGUGAGUAAUGUCUGGGAAACUGCCCGAUGGAGGGGGAUAACUACUGGAAACGGUAGCUAAUACCGCAUAACGUCGCAAGACCAAAGUGGGGGACCUUCGGGCCUCACACCAUCGGAUGUGCCCAGAUGGGAUUAGCUAGUAGGUGGGGUAAUGGCUCACCUAGGCGACGAUCCCUAGCUGGUCUGAGAGGAGUACCAGCGACACUGGAACCGAGACACGGUCCAGACUCCUACGGGAGGCAGCAGUGGGGAAUAUUGCACAAUGGGCGCAAGCCUGAUGCAGCCAUGCCGCGUGUAUGAAGAAGGCCUUCGGGUUGUAAAGUACUUUCAGCGGGGAGGAAGGCGGUGAAGUUAAUAACUUCACCGAUUGACGUUACCCGCAGAAGAAGCACCGGCUAACUCCGUGCCAGCCGCCGCCGUAA